GUACCCGUAGCUCAGCUGGAUAGAGCGUUAGACUCCGACUCUAAAGGCCGAAGGUUCGAAUCCUUUCGGGUACGCCA
Molecule: transfer RNA, 77 nt
Filed under: Clostridiales bacterium
Lineage: Bacteria; Bacillati; Bacillota; Clostridia; Eubacteriales
Description: tRNA-Arg
Rfam family: tRNA
About the family: Transfer RNA (tRNA) molecules are approximately 80 nucleotides in length. Their secondary structure includes four short double-helical elements and three loops (D, anti-codon, and T loops). Further hydrogen bonds mediate the characteristic L-shaped molecular structure. tRNAs have two regions of fundamental functional importance: the anti-codon, which is responsible for specific mRNA codon recognition, and the 3' end, to which the tRNAs corresponding amino acid is attached (by aminoacyl-tRNA synthetases). tRNAs cope with the degeneracy of the genetic code in two manners: having more than one tRNA (with a specific anti-codon) for a particular amino acid; and 'wobble' base-pairing, i.e. permitting non-standard base-pairing at the 3rd anti-codon position.
Source: RNAcentral